CCGAAUUCGUCGACAACAGAGUUUGAUCCUGGCUCAGGACGAACGCUGGCGGCGUGCCUAAUACAUGCAAGUCGAGCGGAUCUUCAUUAGCUUGCUUUUGAAGAUCAGCGGCGGACGGGUGAGCAACACGUGGGCAACCUGCCUGUAAGACUGGGAUAACUUCGGGAAACCGGAGCUAAUACCGGAUAAUCCUUUCCCUCACAUGAGGGAAAGCUGAAAGACGGUUUCGGCUGUCACUUACAGAUGGGCCCGCGGCGCAUUAGCUAGUUGGUGAGGUAACGGCUCACCAAGGCAACGAUGCGUAGCCGACCUGAGAGGGUGAUCGGCCACACUGGGACUGAGACACGGCCCAGACUCCUACGGGAGGCAGCAGUAGGGAAUCUUCCGCAAUGGACGAAAGUCUGACGGAGCAACGCCGCGUGAACGAUGAAGGCUUUCGGGUCGUAAAGUUCUGUUGUUAGGGAAGAACAAGUACCGGAGUAACUGCCGGUACCUUGACGGUACCUAACCAGAAAGCCACGGCUAACUACGUGCCAGCAGCCGCGGUAAUACGUAGGUGGCAAGCGUUGUCCGGAAUUAUUGGGCGUAAAGCGCGCGCAGGCGGUUCCUUAAGUCUGAUGUGAAAGCCCCCGGCUCAACCGGGGAGGGUCAUUGGAAACUGGGGAACUUGAGUGCAGAAGAGGAGAGCGGAAUUCCAC
RNAcentral lists this ribosomal RNA (698 nucleotides) under Bacillus sp. 'Mali 47'. RNAcentral's name for it is "partial 16S ribosomal RNA". It matches the Rfam family "Bacterial small subunit ribosomal RNA", at positions 1 to 672 of the family's 1533-position model. Lineage: Bacteria; Bacillati; Bacillota; Bacilli; Caryophanales; Bacillaceae. The record is from RNAcentral.